RNAcentral lists this non-coding RNA (31 nucleotides) under Rattus norvegicus (Norway rat). Lineage: Eukaryota; Metazoa; Chordata; Mammalia; Rodentia; Muridae. The record is from RNAcentral.
UGACACAUUGUCUAGUGACUAGCACGAAGUC